Molecule: long non-coding RNA, 701 nt
Organism: Arabidopsis lyrata subsp. lyrata
Lineage: Eukaryota; Viridiplantae; Streptophyta; Magnoliopsida; Brassicales; Brassicaceae
Exons: 5
Source: RefSeq, a predicted model, not a curated record
UUCUCAAAUCUCUUCUUCUUCUAUGUCAACCCAGGUCCCAACAAUGGCGACCUAAUCUCCGAAAUUAUGUUCAGAAAAGUGAGUCAUUGAUUCUUUGACUAUCUUCUUCUAUUGAAUCUCUUGGAUUUGCCGAUCAACGCUCCUUCCUUGGGAUUCCAAAAUUUUUAAACGUCAUCUCCAAAUUCCCUUUCCUCAUCAUCAGCCUUAUUGGUCUCAUCCUCUGCUUUUACCCAGAAGAUUACUUCAGCUUUAGUUUGCGAGGUGAGAAAAUAGGAUGGACUUGCUUUUACAUCGGUGUGACUGCUGUUGCUUUUGGAUCGUCUUACUAUCAUCUUCACCCAAAUGAUGCUGCUCUCCUCUGGGAUCCUCUUCCCAUGACUAUUGCAUUGUUCCUUUGCUUCUUGCUGGUCUUGUUAGCAAUUUAUAUUGGAGGCAAGUCAAUCCUUAAACUAUCAAGUGGUUUUAGUGUUACAAUCUUGAGGCGGAGAAACCCAACUGCAAGACCAGAGGCAUUGUAUGGGGACUAACUUCGACGACUUUCUCAUUUUGGUAUUUGCAAAUUCACUAUUGCUCUUCGUCUAUCUUUACGGUAUUAUUUAGUAUAGUUCGUCUAAAGAUAAGAAUUUAUACAGAAGUAUGCGCAUAAGUUUAUCUGUACUUUCUUUUUAACAACUCAUAUUUUUCUCACAUUCUUUUCAAUA